UCCCUGGUGGCUCAGAUGGUAAAGAAUCUGCCUGCAAUGUAGGAGACCUAGGUUCGAUCCCUGGGUUGGGAA
This 72-nucleotide transfer RNA is filed under the name Bos taurus (domestic cattle). It matches the Rfam family "tRNA". From Rfam's summary of the family: Transfer RNA (tRNA) molecules are approximately 80 nucleotides in length. Their secondary structure includes four short double-helical elements and three loops (D, anti-codon, and T loops). Further hydrogen bonds mediate the characteristic L-shaped molecular structure. tRNAs have two regions of fundamental functional importance: the anti-codon, which is responsible for specific mRNA codon recognition, and the 3' end, to which the tRNAs corresponding amino acid is attached (by aminoacyl-tRNA synthetases). tRNAs cope with the degeneracy of the genetic code in two manners: having more than one tRNA (with a specific anti-codon) for a particular amino acid; and 'wobble' base-pairing, i.e. permitting non-standard base-pairing at the 3rd anti-codon position. The record is from Rfam by way of RNAcentral. Lineage: Eukaryota; Metazoa; Chordata; Mammalia; Artiodactyla; Bovidae. RNAcentral also lists the same sequence under 2 other names.